This 402-nucleotide ribosomal RNA is filed under the name uncultured bacterium. Its description in RNAcentral is "partial 16S ribosomal RNA". It matches the Rfam family "Bacterial small subunit ribosomal RNA", at positions 28 to 525 of the family's 1533-position model. The record is from RNAcentral.
GACGAACGCUGGCGGCGUGCCUAAUACAUGCAAGUCGAACGCAGUGGGGACGGGUGAGUAACACGUGGGUAACCUCCCAUCAGAGGGGAUAACACUUGGAAACAGGUGCUAAACCGAUACUGAUGGAUGGAACCGCGGUGCAUUAGCUAGUUGGUGAGGUAACGGCUCACCAAUGCCACGAUGCAUAGCCGACCUGAGAGGUUGAUCGUCCACACUGGGCUGUAGACACGGCCCAGACUCCUACGGGAGGCAGCAGUGGGGAAUCAUCGGCAAUGGACGAAAGUCUGACCGAGCAACGCCGCGUGAGUGAAGAAGGUUUUCGGAUCGUAAAACUCUGUUGUUAGAGAAGCGGUAUCUAACCAGAAAGCCACGGCUAACUACGUGCCAGCCGCCGCGGUAAUU